This 440-nucleotide ribosomal RNA is filed under the name uncultured bacterium. RNAcentral's name for it is "partial 16S ribosomal RNA". It matches the Rfam family "Bacterial small subunit ribosomal RNA", at positions 338 to 795 of the family's 1533-position model. The record is from RNAcentral.
CCUACGGGUGGCUGCAGUGGGGAAUAUUGGACAAUGGGGGAAACCCUGAUCCAGCUACGCCGCGUGAGUGAAGAAGUAUUUCGGUACGUAAAGCUCUAUCAGCAGGAAAGAAAAUGACGGUUCCUGACUAAGAAGCACCGGCGAACUCCGUGCCAGCAGCCGCGGUAAUACGUCGGGGGCAAGCGUUAUCCGGAUUGACUGGGUGUAAAGGGAGCCUAGACGGCAGCGCAAGACUGGAGUGAAAUGCCGGGGACCAACCCCGGAACUGCUCUGGAAACUGUGAAGCUGGAGUGCAGGAGAGGUAAGCGGAAUUCCUGGUGUAGCGGUGAAAUGCGUAGAUAUCAGGAGGAACACCGGCGGCGAAGGCGGCUUACUGGACUGUAACUGACGUUGAGGCUCGAAGGCGUGGGGAGCAAACAGGAUUAGAUACCCUUGUAGUC